GACGAACGCUGGCGGCGUGCUUAACACAUGCAAGUCGAACGAAGAGAGAUGGAAGCUUGCUUCUAUCAAUCUUAGUGGCGAACGGGUGAGUAACGCGUAAUCAACCUGCCCUUCAGAGGGGGACAACAGUUGGAAACGACUGCUAAUACCGCAUACGAUCCAAUCUCGGCAUCGAGAGUGGAUGAAAGGUGGCCUCUAUUAAUAAGCUAUCACUGAAGGAGGGGAUUGCGUCUGAUUAGCUAGUUGGAGGGGUAACGGCCCACCAAGGCGAUGAUCAGUAGCCGGUCUGAGAGGAUGAACGGCCACAUUGGGACUGAGACACGGCCCAGACUCCUACGGGAGGCAGCAGUGGGGAAUCUUCCGCAAUGGACGAAAGUCUGACGGAGCAACGCCGCGUGAGUGAUGACGGCCUUCGGGUUGUAAAGCUCUGUUAAUCGGGACGAAUGGUUCUUGUGCGAAUAGUGCG
Molecule: ribosomal RNA, 466 nt
Filed under: Veillonella atypica
Lineage: Bacteria; Bacillati; Bacillota; Negativicutes; Veillonellales; Veillonellaceae
Description: bacterial SSU rRNA
Rfam family: Bacterial small subunit ribosomal RNA
Source: RNAcentral